CCUACGGGGGGCUGCAGUAACGAAUCUUCCGCAAUGCACGAAAGUGUGACGGAGCGACGCCGCGUGUAGGACGAAGCCCUUCGGGGUGUAAACUACUGUCAGGGGAAAGAAAGUUCUGAUCUACCCCAGAGGAAGGGACGGCUAACUCUGUGCCAGCAGCCGCGGUAAGACAGAGGUCCCGAGCGUUAGGCGGAAUCACUGGGCUUAAAGCGUGUGUAGGCGGAUGCCUAAGUACCUUGUGAAAUCCCACGGCUCACCCGUGGAACUGCUUGGUAUACUGGGUGUCUUGAGCCACUUAGGGGCUACCGGAACAAAUGGUGGAGCGGUGAAAUGCGUAGAUAUCAUUUGGAACGCCAAUGGUGAAAACAGGUAGCUGGGAGUGUGCUGACGCUGAGACACGAAAGCCAGGGGAGCAAACGGGAUUAGAUACCCUUGUAGUC
RNAcentral lists this ribosomal RNA (440 nucleotides) under uncultured bacterium. Its description in RNAcentral is "bacterial SSU rRNA". It matches the Rfam family "Bacterial small subunit ribosomal RNA", at positions 338 to 795 of the family's 1533-position model. The record is from RNAcentral.